This 157-nucleotide ribosomal RNA is filed under the name uncultured bacterium. RNAcentral describes it as "partial 16S ribosomal RNA". It matches the Rfam family "Bacterial small subunit ribosomal RNA", at positions 355 to 509 of the family's 1533-position model. The record is from RNAcentral.
UGAGGAAUAUUGGUCAAUGGGCGCAAGCCUGAACCAGCCAUGCCGCGUGCAGGAUGAAGCAUCUAUGGUGUGUAAACUGCUUUUGUACGGGAAGAAACACCCCUUCGUGAAGGGGCUUGACGGUACCGUAAGAAUAAGGAUCGGCUAACUCCGUGCC